GAAUAAACCUGAUGGGUUGUUGCUGGCUUCUAGGAGCAUGUGCACGCCUGUCAUCUUUAUCCAUCCACCUGUGCACCCUUUGUAGUCUUUGGAGGUAAUGAGCCGUGAAACUUGUCGAGGAUUCAUUUCUUCGUAUGAGGCCUGCCACGCGUGAGUGUGGCUGACCUUGAUAUCACGCGCGUGUUUCUCCAAGACUAUGUCUUUCAUAUACCACAUGAAUGUAUCAGAAUGUUGUCAUUAGGUCUUUGUGCCUAUAUAAUACAAUACAACUUUCAGCAACGGAUCUCUUGGCUCU
RNAcentral lists this unclassified non-coding RNA (295 nucleotides) under rhizosphere metagenome. RNAcentral's name for it is "partial ribosomal RNA internal transcribed spacer region". The record is from RNAcentral.